This 531-nucleotide ribosomal RNA is filed under the name Pantoea agglomerans. Its description in RNAcentral is "bacterial SSU rRNA". It matches the Rfam family "Bacterial small subunit ribosomal RNA", at positions 151 to 677 of the family's 1533-position model. Lineage: Bacteria; Pseudomonadati; Pseudomonadota; Gammaproteobacteria; Enterobacterales; Erwiniaceae. The record is from RNAcentral.
UGGAAACGGUGGCUAAUACCGCAUAGUGUCGCAAGACCAAAGUGGGGGACCUUCGGGCCUCACGCUACCGGAUGAACCCAUAUGGGAUUAUCUAUUUGGUGGGGUAACGGCUCACCAGGGCCACUAUCCCUAUCUGGUCUGAGAGGAUGACCAGCCACACUGGAACUGACACACGGUCCACACUCCUACGGGAGGCAGCAGUGGGGAAUAUUGCACAGUGGGCGCAAGCCUGAUGCACCCAUGCCGCGUGUAUGAAAAAGGCCUUCGGGUUGUAAAGUACUUUCCGCGGGGAAGAAGGGAUGAGGCUUAAUACUCUUCGUCUUUGACGUUACCCGCAAAAAAAGCACCGGCUAACUCCGUGCCAACACCCGCGGUAAUACAGAGGGUGCAAGCGUUAAUCAGAAUUAGUGGGCGUAAAGCGCACGCGGGCGGUCUGUUAACUCAGAUGUGAAAUCCCCGGGCUUAACCUGGGAACUGCUUUUGAAACUGGCGGGCUUGACUCUCGUAGAGGGGGGUAGAAUUCCGGGUGUA